GUUUGAUCAUGGCUCAGAUUGAACGCUGGCGGCAGGCCUAACACAUGCAAGUCGAACGGUAACAGGAAGCAGCUUGCUGCUUCGCUGACGAGUGGCGGACGGGUGAGUAAUGUCUGGGAAGCUGCCUGAUGGAGGGGGAUAACUACUGGAAACGGUAGCUAAUACCGCAUAAUGUCGCAAGACCAAAGAGGGGGACCUUCGGGCCUCUUGCCAUCGGAUGUGCCCAGAUGGGAUUAGCUUGUUGGUGGGGUAACGGCUCACCAAGGCGACGAUCCCUAGCUGGUCUGAGAGGAUGACCAGCCACACUGGAACUGAGACACGGUCCAGACUCCUACGGGAGGCAGCAGUGGGGAAUAUUGCACAAUGGGCGCAAGCCUGAUGCAGCCAUGCCGCGUGUAUGAAGAAGGCCUUCGGGUUGUAAAGUACUUUCAGCGGGGAGGAAGGGAGUAAAGUUAAUACCUUUGCUCAUUGACGUUACCCGCAGAAGAAGCACCGGCUAACUCCGUGCCAGCAGCCGCGGUAAUACGGAGGGUGCAAGCGUUAAUCGGAAUUACUGGGCGUAAAGCGCACGCAGGCGGUUUGUUAAGUCAGAUGUGAAAUCCCCGGGCUCAACCUGGGAACUGCAUCUGAUACUGGCAAGCUUGAGUCUCGUAGAGGGGGGUAGAAUUCCAGGUGUAGCGGUGAAAUGCGUAGAGAUCUGGAGGAAUACCGGUGGCGAAGGCGGCCCCCUGGACGAAGACUGACGCUCAGGUGCGAAAGCGUGGGGAGCAAACAGGAUUAGAUACCCUGGUAGUCCACGCCGUAAACGAUGUCGACUUGGAGGUUGUGCCCUUGAGGCGUGGCUUCCGGAGCUAACGCGUUAAGUCGACCGCCUGGGGAGUACGGCCGCAAGGUUAAAACUCAAAUGAAUUGACGGGGGCCCGCACAAGCGGUGGAGCAUGUGGUUUAAUUCGAUGCAACGCGAAGAACCUUACCUGGUCUUGACAUCCACGGAAGUUUUCAGAGAUGAGAAUGUGCCUUCGGGAACCGUGAGACAGGUGCUGCAUGGCUGUCGUCAGCUCGUGUUGUGAAAUGUUGGGUUAAGUCCCGCAACGAGCGCAACCCUUAUCCUUUGUUGCCAGCGGUCCGGCCGGGAACUCAAAGGAGACUGCCAGUGAUAAACUGGAGGAAGGUGGGGAUGACGUCAAGUCAUCAUGGCCCUUACGACCAGGGCUACACACGUGCUACAAUGGCGCAUACAAAGAGAAGCGACCUCGCGAGAGCAAGCGGACCUCAUAAAGUGCGUCGUAGUCCGGAUUGGAGUCUGCAACUCGACUCCAUGAAGUCGGAAUCGCUAGUAAUCGUGGAUCAGAAUGCCACGGUGAAUACGUUCCCGGGCCUUGUACACACCGCCCGUCACACCAUGGGAGUGGGUUGCAAAAGAAGUAGGUAGCUUAACCUUCGGGAGGGCGCUUACCACUUUGUGAUUCAUGACUGGGGUGAAGUCGUAACAAGGUAACCA
RNAcentral lists this ribosomal RNA (1501 nucleotides) under uncultured Shigella sp. RNAcentral describes it as "bacterial SSU rRNA". It matches the Rfam family "Bacterial small subunit ribosomal RNA". The record is from RNAcentral. Lineage: Bacteria; Pseudomonadati; Pseudomonadota; Gammaproteobacteria; Enterobacterales; Enterobacteriaceae.